GACGAACGCUGGCGGCGUGCUUAACACAUGCAAGUCGAGCGGUAAGGCCCUUUCGGGGGUACACGAGCGGCGAACGGGUGAGUAACACGUGGGUGACCUGCCCUCAGCUCUGGGAUAAGCCCGGGAAACUGGGUCUAAUACUGGAUAUUACUCUGCGGUGCAUGCCGUGGGGUGGAAAGCCUUGUGCGGCUGGGGGAUGGGCCCGCGGCCUAUCAGCUUGUUGGUGGGGUGAUGGCCACCAAGGCGACGACGGGUAGCCGGCCUGAGAGGGCGACCGGCCACACUGGGACUGAGACACGGCCCAGACUCCUACGGGAGGCAGCAGUGGGGAAUCUUGCGCAAUGGGCGAAAGCCUGACGCAGCGACGCCGCGUGAGGGAUGACGGCCUCGGUGUAAC
This 397-nucleotide ribosomal RNA is filed under the name uncultured bacterium. Its description in RNAcentral is "bacterial SSU rRNA". It matches the Rfam family "Bacterial small subunit ribosomal RNA", at positions 28 to 429 of the family's 1533-position model. The record is from RNAcentral.